This is a long non-coding RNA of Mus musculus (house mouse), 3536 nucleotides long. RefSeq annotates it as predicted gene, 46265. NCBI's taxonomy places the organism in Eukaryota, Metazoa, Chordata, Mammalia, Rodentia, Muridae. The record is from RefSeq and is a predicted model, not a curated record. The transcript is spliced from 2 exons.
UCUCUCUCCAGGGCAGGGAGGUUAGGCCCACAGUCAGACCCUUUCUGUGACACUCCCAUCUUGCCCUGGGUGUGGAUAGGGAGGUUAGGCCCACAGUCUUUCUGUGGGCACUCUGUCAAUUUUACUGGGUGUGGAAUGCGAGUUGAGGCAAGUUGUGUAUAAAUCAUGGGAACAUAGGUCAUUGAAGUCUAUUGAUCUAAAAGGACCUAAGUUGUCCAUGAACAUAACCAGAUCCACUGCCCGGGCCAAGCACCGAGCUAAGGACUGCACACUUCUCACUUUUGGAUCUUCCCAGAGAGACUGAGAGAGCAUAGCUGUACCUUUAAGUGUUAGGAUACAAACAGUUUCUUGCCAGUGAUCACCCUGUUUCCGGACUUGGGAGCAGGAUUGUAUUAAGGGCAUCCUGCAAUGGACAGUGGGUGUGCUUGCUUAGCCAGAGCGUUGUGCGUGGCAUGUGCAGUGCGUCCAUAAACCUUGUCUACCAUGCCGUGUGGUUGCACAGUCAAGUACAUCUUCAGACUGUGACGAGUAUAAAGUAUCGAGUAUAUUUAUUACGGACUCCUGUGUUUAGCCCUGGUUGUGUGUGUGUGUGUGUGUGUGUGUGUGUGUGUGUGUGUGUGUCUGUGUGUGUGUGUGUCUGUGUGUGUCUGUGUGUUAAUGGAGUGGUUUGGUUUCUCGUUGACAUCUGUGAUUUGCCACUGCCCAUUAGCGAGGUGAGCUGCUUUGGGUACUUGGAUCUGCUACCAGGAAGGCUGGCGCUUUUGCAUAAGCAGGGUAGUGUCUCAGAGAGCUGUGAAUAUGCUUCAAGUUCUAGCUUUGCCACAGUUACUGGACUCAUUUCUCCACCUGUUACUUAGUGCUAGCAUAUAAUACUGAGCUAUUCUGUUGGGCACUCUGUGUGUGUGUGUGUGUGUGUGUGUGUGUGUGUGUGUGUUGCGAUUACAUGAUUGCCCUUUGAAACAAUAGGUUGCUAGGCAUUGUGGCACAUGCUUGUAUUGCUAGCAUUUGGGAAACUGAACAGGAGGAUCAUCAGUUUGAAAUCAGUCAGGAGCAUAGUGAGCUGGUCUACACAAGACAGAUACAUACACAAACACACACACAGACACAUACACACACAGGGAAAAAGCUGGUCUAUACAAGGAACACGGGUGCACGUGUGCACACACAUACACACACACAGGGAAAAAGGGAAAGAAGAAGAAGCACAACUGAGAGAACAGAGGAGGGAAGGAGCAGGCGACAUUAAGAACUGAGAGGUGGCUCAGCGGUUAAGAGCACUGACUGCUCUUCCAGAGGUCCUGAACAAUCCCAGCACCCACAUGGUGGUUCACAACCAUCUGUAAUGAGAUCUGACGCCCUCUUCUGGAGUGUCUGAAGACAGCUACAGUGUACUUACAUAUAAUAAAUAAAUAAAUCUUUAAAAAGAAAAAGAAGAAAAGGAAAAAGAAAAAGAAAAAAGAACUGCCUUCCAAAUCAUGAGAGCCUAGAACCAUUGACUUCACAGCUCCAGCCAAGGAGAAUAAGGGUGACAAGAGUCAGGACUGUGAGCUUGGAGGCGUCCUGUGAGCCAACAAGUUAGGGUGCAGAUAAAUGCCCUGCUAGGCAACCAAUGCUCCCCUUCUCUGCUCUGGGACCCCACUCCAGAGAGCCUCACCCCACACCUCCCAGAAGUGCCUCCUCCCAGAAGGAGGUCCCCUGUGUGCUCCAUCCUCCCCAGCUCUGUUCUGUCAUUGCCUAUGCCUUUCCAUGGCGGACACUAAGGUUUGGAAAGAGCAGUAUGCCUGCCUCAGAAACAUGAGGUGUGCCCCGAGUGUGUGUGCUUGCAGGUCAGAAGGCAACACCCAGGAAUUGUCUUUCUCUCCACCAUGUGGGUUCUGGAGAUCAAACUCGAGUUAUCAGGCUUGAGGCAAACACCUUUACCUGCUGAGACAUCUUGCUGGCCCAUUAUUUAUAAAGAUUCACUAUUUUCCAAAGUAAUAUAGACUCUGGUAAGAUAUGAAUGCAUAUAUAUAUUCACAUUGCAUGUAGGGAAUCAGAUUGUGUCAGUGAGGGUAAGUGACCCCAUUCCCUGGGGAACUACACUUUACAUUCGGUACCAUCUCAGGCCCUUUCAUCUAAGUACAGAUGUACAGUUUUGCUCUAAUGAAUACAUUCAUUCUUUACAGUGUAUAACAAGGCAGCUUUUUUAACAUCUGGUCCUCAGAAUCCUUGUCUGUGUAAUGAACAUAAAAGGUCUAUUCUAGUUUGCUUUCUGCCUAGGGAUGAUACCCCCCACAGCGGGCUGAGCCCUCUUACGUGAUAAAAACUCCCCACGGGUAUUCGGUUAUCAGCUUGAGAUGCAGCAGCAGCUUCCCUGUACCACAGCUUCUGUGUGCGGACCCUGAGGACUUUGUCUCAAUGAUGCUGGUCUCUUCUUCAUCACACCUGAUUUCUCAGCCCUGAUUAGCAAGCACCAAUUGUCCCAGUAAAGCAAAGCGUCCACAGAUUAUUAAAAAAAAACUUUAAAAAAUUAUUAAUUUUAUAUAUGUGAGUACACUGUCACUCUCUUCAGACACACCAGAAGAGGGCAUUGUAUCUCAUUACAGGUGGUUGUGGGUCACCAUGUGGUUACUGGGAAUUGAACUCAGGACCUCUGGAAGAGCAGCCAGUGCUCUUAACCAAUGAGCCAUCUCGCCAACACUUCCACAGAUUCUUUUUUUGUUUUGUUUUGUUUUGUUUUUGGUUUUCGAGACAGGGUUUCUCUGUGCAGCCCUGGCUGUCCUGGAACUCACUUUGUAGAUCAGGCUGGCCUGGAACUCAGAAGUCCGCCUGCCUCUGCCUCCCAAGUGCUGGGAUUAAAGGCGUGCACUCACUCUUCCACAGAUUCUUAAUCUAAAAUAUCAUACAAUUAGCCCUGAGGGGAUGUCAUCGGCCAGGUCUCCACUGUCUACAUUUCUCUUAGCAUUAUCUUAUCUUCCAGCUUCCCACAGAUCAUCAACUCUGAGCACUUCGUGGUUCUUCCCACUCAAAGUUCCAAAUACACACUUCUCAAAAAUAACAAAAACAAACAAACCAACCAACCCCAAACAACAAGGCCUACAGUCAUGUCUGUCAUAGCCAUACCCCUGUUUUCUGGUACCCAUUUCUGUCUAGUUAGGUUUCUAUUGCUUUUGAUAAACACCGUGGCUAAAAAACAACAUGUGAGGGAGAGGAUUUAUUUUAGCUUACAGGCUACAGUUCAUCCUUGGGGAUGCUAAGACAGUAGCUCAAGGCAGGGGUUUAAAGCAGAAAACACUGUUUAGUGCCUUACUCACUGGAUCGUGUUAAGCAGCCUCUCCAGGCCUACUCACCGGAGAUGGUUUUCCCACGCCAACUGGACACUCCUACAUCAAUUGGCAAUCAAGAAAAUACCUGCAUAGACAUGGCCAUAAAUCAAUCAAGUGGAAGCAUAAGUACCAUCUUGCUGUCUCAUUGAUACCAUAAAGCUGCCUUCAAACUAGGUCAACCCAGAAGGCAGAAAAACUGAUGCAUAUUAGAAAAAAAAAAAAAAAAAAAAA